UACAACCUGAGCUCAGGCGUGAUACCCGCUGAACUAAGC
This 39-nucleotide ribosomal RNA is filed under the name Ashworthius sidemi. RNAcentral describes it as "partial large subunit ribosomal RNA". The record is from RNAcentral. Lineage: Eukaryota; Metazoa; Nematoda; Chromadorea; Rhabditida; Trichostrongylidae.